Molecule: long non-coding RNA, 323 nt
Organism: Daphnia magna
Lineage: Eukaryota; Metazoa; Arthropoda; Branchiopoda; Diplostraca; Daphniidae
Exons: 2
Source: RefSeq, a predicted model, not a curated record
UUUAUACAAACCGUUUACCCAAUAGGUGAAAGUUGAAAGCAUGUCUGAUUUUAAAUCAGUUUUGGUACAAGUUGUGUAUUUUGGCGAUCGUACAUGUGACUAUGAGGUUACAUUUCAGUCUUCUUUACGAGGGGAACCUGACCUUAUGAUGUAAGAGCAAAAGUUGUGCUCUAAAUCCAAAGAAAUAAAAGAUUUCGUUGGCAAAGGAGGAGCAUGUGAAUUUUUCAAAGAAAGUGAAAUUUUGCCUGGUCGUUGGACCCAAUUUGGUGAUUACUCACCAGUGAAGCACAAAGUAACGAUAAGGUGUACCCUGGGGAAUAAAA